GACUAAUACCGCAUGAAGCAGGGAUCCCGCAUGGGAAUAUUUGCUAAAGAUUCAUCGCUGAUAGAUAGGCAUGCGUUCCAUUAGGCAGUUGGCGGGGGUAACGGCCCACCAAACCGACGAUGGAUAGGGGUUCUGAGAGGAAGGUCCCCCACAUUGGUACUGAGACACGGACCAAACUCCUACGGGAGGCAGCAUGC
This 197-nucleotide ribosomal RNA is filed under the name uncultured bacterium. RNAcentral describes it as "partial 16S ribosomal RNA". It matches the Rfam family "Bacterial small subunit ribosomal RNA", at positions 161 to 353 of the family's 1533-position model. The record is from RNAcentral.